This 496-nucleotide ribosomal RNA is filed under the name uncultured bacterium. RNAcentral's name for it is "partial 16S ribosomal RNA". It matches the Rfam family "Bacterial small subunit ribosomal RNA", at positions 29 to 507 of the family's 1533-position model. The record is from RNAcentral.
AUGCACGCUGGCGGCGUGCCUAAUACAUGCAGGUCGAGCGAACAGACGAGGAGCUUGCUCCUCUGACGUUAGCGGCGGACGGGUGAGUAACACGUGGAUAACCUACCUAUAAGACUGGGAUAACUUCGGGAAACCGGAGCUAAUACCGGAUAAUAUAUUGAACCGCAUGGUUCAAUAGUGAAAGACGGUUUUGCUGUCACUUAUAGAUGGAUCCGCGCCGCAUUAGCUAGUUGGUAAGGUAACGGCUUACCAAGGCAACGAUGCGUAGCCGACCUGAGAGGGUGAUCGGCCACACUGGAACUGAGACACGGUCCAGACUCCUACGGGAGGCAGCAGUAGGGAAUCUUCCGCAAUGGGCGAAAGCCUGACGGAGCAACGCCGCGUGAGUGAUGAAGGUCUUCGGAUCGUAAAACUCUGUUAUUAGGGAAGAACAAAUGUGUAAGUAACUAUGCACGUCUUGACGGUACCUAAUCAGAAGGCCACGGCUAACUACGUG